CCUACGGGCGGCAGCAGUGGGGAAUAUUGCACAAUGGGGGAAACCCUGAUGCAGCGACGCCGCGUGAGCGAUGAAGUAUUUCGGUAUGUAAAGCUCUAUCAGCAGGGAAGAAAAUGACGGUACCUGACUAGAAGGCCCGGCCAAAUACGUUCCAGCAGCCGGGGUAAUUCGUAGGGGGCAAGGGUUAUCCGGAUUUACCGGGUGGAAAGGGGGCGUAGAAGGUCCUGCAAGCCAGAUGUGAAAGCCCGGGGCUCAACCCCGGGACUGCAUUUGGAACUGUAAGGCUAGAGUGUCGGAGAGGCAGGCGGAAUUCCUAGUGUAGCGGUGAAAUGCGUAGAUAUUAGGAGGAACACCAGUGGCGAAGGCGGCCUGCUGGACGAUGACUGACGUUGAGGCUCGAAAGCGUGGGGAGCAAACAGGAUUAGAUACCCGGGUAGUC
Molecule: ribosomal RNA, 439 nt
Filed under: uncultured bacterium
Lineage: Bacteria
Description: partial 16S ribosomal RNA
Rfam family: Bacterial small subunit ribosomal RNA
Source: RNAcentral